UUAAAAAGCUCGUAGUUGAAUGUUUAAGGGAGUCAUUUCGUGUGGUAUUAAUGAACUACAAAGGAAGAUGGUUUAUCUUAUUAUAUGCUUUUCCCACCGUUGGAAUUCGUUUUUUUGACAGUGAAAUAGAUAUGUGUUUACUUUGAGAAAAUUAAGAGUGUUCUAAGCAGUCUUAUGGCUUUAUCCUAAGGCGUGGAAUGAUAAGUAAUGACAUUGGUCAAUAUCUGUUGGUUUGAAAGGUUGAUGUAAUGAUUUAUAGAGUUUGUCGGAGGCAUUAGUAUUUUGUCGUUAGAGGUGAAAUUCUGGGAUCGACAAAAGACUAACAACCGCGUAAGCAUUUGCCUAGGAUGUGCUCCUUGAUCAAGAACGUAAGUUGGGGGAUCGAAGACGAUCAGAUACCGUCGUAGUCUCAACUUUAAACUAUAUCAGCUAGGGGCUGGCAAAUGUUUUUAUGACUUUGUUAGAACCCUUACAAGAAAUCAAAGCGUUUGGAUUCCCGGGGGGAGUAUGGUCGCAA
This 517-nucleotide ribosomal RNA is filed under the name uncultured marine eukaryote. RNAcentral's name for it is "bacterial SSU rRNA". It matches the Rfam family "Eukaryotic small subunit ribosomal RNA", at positions 619 to 1134 of the family's 1831-position model. The record is from RNAcentral.